GACGAACGCUGGCGGCGUGCUUAACACAUGCAAGUCGAACGGAAAGGCCCUGCUUUUGUGGGGUGCUCGAGUGGCGAACGGGUGAGUAACACGUGAGUAACCUGCCCUUGUCUUUGGGAUAACUUCAGGAAACUGGGGCUAAUACCGGAUAGGAGCUCCUGCUGCAUGGUGGGGGUUGGAUAGUUUCGGCGGUUGGGGAUGGACUCGCGGCUUAUCAGCUUGUUGGUGGGGUAGUGGCUUACCAAGGCUUUGACGGGUAGCCGGCGUGAGAGGGUGACCGGCCACAUUGGGACUGAGAUACGGCCCAGACUCCUACGGGAGGCAGCGGUGGGGAAUAUUGCACAAUGGGCGGAAGCCUGAUGCAGCAACGCCGCGUGCGGGAUGACGGCCUUCGGGUUGUAAACCGCUUUCGCCUGUGACGAAGCGUGAGUGACGGUAAUGGGUAAAGAAGCACCGGCUAACUACGUG
RNAcentral lists this ribosomal RNA (468 nucleotides) under uncultured bacterium. RNAcentral describes it as "partial 16S ribosomal RNA". It matches the Rfam family "Bacterial small subunit ribosomal RNA", at positions 28 to 507 of the family's 1533-position model. The record is from RNAcentral.